UACGAAGGGGGCGAGCGUUGUUCGGAUUUACUGGGCGUAAAGGGCGCGUAGGCGGCGGCCCAAGUCGAGUGUGAAAGCCCCGGGCUCAACCUGGGAGGUGCGCUCGAGACUGGCCCGCUAGAGUUCGGGAGAGGAGCGUGGAAUUCCCAGUGUAGAGGUGAAAUUCGUAGAUAUUGGGAAGAACACCGGUGGCGAAGGCGGCGCUCUGGACCGAGACUGACGCUGAGACACGAAAGCGUGGGGAGCAAACAGG
RNAcentral lists this ribosomal RNA (253 nucleotides) under uncultured bacterium. RNAcentral describes it as "partial 16S ribosomal RNA". It matches the Rfam family "Bacterial small subunit ribosomal RNA", at positions 524 to 776 of the family's 1533-position model. The record is from RNAcentral.